This is an RNA transcript of Phasianus colchicus (ring-necked pheasant), 5347 nucleotides long. It is a transcript of the gene named actin-binding Rho-activating protein pseudogene, with no coding region annotated. The record is from RefSeq and is a predicted model, not a curated record. NCBI's taxonomy places the organism in Eukaryota, Metazoa, Chordata, Aves, Galliformes, Phasianidae.
CCGCCGCCCCCUUCCCUCGGAGGCCGCCCCCCGCCCGCUCCCCUCACCGGCAGGCGGAACUCGAGGUGCUCCUGCGCCAGCAGCAGCAGUAAUCAGGACCAAAGCUCGGUGCGAAGCUUUCACACCAACAGCUGCCAGCAUCAGUGUGCACUGUAAUCUGAGGAUGAACCUUCCUGGGCAGUUCUUGAGGACAAGGUGAAGCAGCAGAUGGAGAUGUCUCUUGUUCAUCAGUUCAUCUAGGCUCCAGCAGUGCCCACCGUGUUGGAUUGCUGACAAGCCCAUCCCAGAGCACUACUGCCCGCCCCAGAAGAUGAAGACCUGCAUGGUCUAGCAGUGCAUUUCUAAUGAAGAACAUGGCCAAAGCUCUGCGCUUUCCUGCUCUCUGCAUGGGGAUCUGUGCCAAACCUGUAUGCUGCAUAGCACAGUUUAAAAGCGUAUGUGGAUUAACAACUGACAGUGCACAGGAGAACCAUCGCUACGGUUGGUCGUUGGUUCCCGUUUGAGUGCUGCAAACCAAUUCCAGGGAAUGGAGGAGAAUAAGGGGCAGCAUGCUAAAACCAGCGGCGCAGUGAGUGACCUGAGGAGAAGCUGGCAGACCUGGGCAGAGGAUCGGGUCGAGUACCAGAAGAAGAAUCCAUUCAGCAACGAAGACAGGCUUGCAUCUAAACCUCUGCAUGCUCAGAGAGGAGACCCGGCCUACGGGAAGCCCCCUGAAGGGUCUAAAACAGAACAGAGAGGGAAAGAUGCUCACUCACAUGUGGAAAAGGAGGUGGAAGAGCUGUGCCUGAUAAUCAGAAGCACUGGGCAGAAGGGAGAAGAUGGACACGUGAGUGUAACGUUCGGGCAGCUGUUUGAGACAUAUGUGACUAUCUCCAACAAAGUGGUGGGAAUCUUGCUGAGAGCCAGAAAACACGGCCUGGUUCGUUUUGAAGGUGAAAUGCUUUGGCAAGGAAAGGAUGAUGAUGUGGUCAUUACUUUGCUAGAAUGAGACUCUGGCAUCUGAUGAAUUUUGCUGCUUGUUUCCAUUUGGAAAAACCUCUAGAUACUGUCUUGAAAAAGGUUUUCAUUGCAGAAUUUCAGCUCUGCGAAUUAAUGGGACAUUUAAAGGAGAGAAAAUGGGUGUGAAACAUAAAAAAAAAACGGUUUGCAUAAAAAUAAUAAGCUUAUUUUGGACAGAAAUCAAAAAUAAUCAACUAAUCUGUCACAAUACCAAGUAUGCUGUGGUUCUUCAAGCAUCUUCACUGGGUUAGUGCUUUAGGUUCUGAACAUUAAUGACUAAUAACCACCAAACAGCACUGAAUCUUGGAGGUUGUGAAAGACUUGCCGUGGGGAGGGAUUUUUUGAUUUGCAAAACAUGGAAUUGAGCACUUUUAUGGGAAUUCAUAUGCUUCAAACAAGAGUCUCGGCUGUGACUCUAAAAAAAUGGAAGUUAGGUUGACUUUCAUGAAGUAUGUGAAAAUGCCCAAGUUUACAGAAAUAUCACUUGCUUAGUGGCCUAUAAUAUAUACAGCAAGGAUAUUUCAUGUUUCCUAAAUAAGCUGCAUCUUGCUGAAUUUAACGGUCUAUCUUUAGCAUCAUGUCUUCUGCAUCUAGUUCUUUUUCCUCUGUAUAUCAUAUCACUUUCACCUCCUCUUCUAAUGCUGUGUCAUACUAGGGGAGAUCACCAAGCUCUGCAGCUUUUCUGGUGAUCUCCAAAAUACCCUUCACAAAAUGUAGCGUGCCACAACACAAUGACUUGAAAGACAACAGAAAAUACAUUGGGGCAUUCAUGAAAUGAAAAAAUAACAACAAAAAAAGACCUCUUUGACUUCUUUCAGCAAAGUGUAGCAAUGCUGUUUAUAACAAGAGAGUAAAGAUCCUGUAGUGCCAAAUGCCUAAGAAGAAGUGUAGAGCGCAGUCACAUCCCUCAUUUAGUUGAGGCAGAGCUGUGUUGCAAGUUCUCCAAACUGGGAGAAAAAAUGAGCUGCUAGAUAAAAAUGGGAUUGGGAGCUGAGUGGCAAGAAUUUUCCUCAAGGUUCUUGUGGAGGAAUAUUUUUCAGUGUUCAAAGUUGGUUAUCUUCGAUAGUUGUAAUAACAAUACUAAAAAUAAUCAGGAACUGUUUCAAAUUAUUGCCACCAAGAAAAUGUUGGGAAUACAAAAUUGUGGGGUUUUUUUGUUUGUUUUUUAACAGGGCAAAGAAAAGCUCUUAUAUAGUGUAUGUGGUGCUAAGUACAGUACUUGAUGAGUCUUUAAAACAAGAAUAUUCUCUUGCCUCAAAAGGAUACUGAGAUUUAUUAUAAAUUAUGCACUUGAUAGAAGUGAUUAUUUAAUGCUAUUUACAUAAAAUACUUUUUUUUUUCUUUUUUUGCAAAAAACAUAAUAAUGAUUCUUGACUUUUUCAUCUAUUGGGAUUUUGCACGAAAAUAAACCUUCUUACUGAGCAGGUAAAAAUACAAUUUUUUGUUAUCCUUCUGCCUUCUUUUCAUAGUGAAAGGACUAGACAAAUGGAAAAAAACAGAGAUGAAUGUGGUGAAAUAAGUCCAUUUGGAGAACAGGAGAACUGGAUGCAGGUACAGCAUGGAGGGGAAACAAAGGAUGGGCUUUAAUCACCACAUCAUUUCAGCAUGUUGGAAACGGAAAAAUACAUGCUGCACCAGAUACCAGUGGUUUGUGUUCCCUUAGCUGUCAAAACCCCUCCUUUCUAAAAUAAUUUAUAGCUUUAAAACAAGACUUAUAACUUGUCAUCGCAGCGCAUUUAAAACACUUUGUUUUUUGGGGGAAAAGCAUUUCUAGUCAAAUGACAUGAGCACAAGUUAGUGGAUUUCUACUCCCAUUUGAGGAAACCUGGGAGUGCAUUUUGUUAUCAAAGUAAAUCAAAAUUUUAAUAACACAGCUAUGAAAUGUGGUCUGUUUAAUUCUAACAGUUUGUCAGUCCAGUUGAUUCUGUUGUAGCAGUCGUUCAUAACUUGGAGAAGGCAGUGUUGGGCAGUUCAGGUAUCACCAGCUACAGGAUGGCAGCAUCAGGGAAAAUAAUCCAUUACUCUCAAAAGACACACAGUUGAGGCAGUGUGUAACCUGAGCACUCUCAGGGUGCAAGUCUAGCUUGUGCAGACUCACUAAUUUUUAAUUAAGACUGACCCAAGUAGUUAAGCAACAAGAACCAAGGCUUCCACUGCCAUGCAUGUAGUGUCAGACCGUAACAUGGCCUCAGCUGUACUGCUGCUUAGGGUUGGUUUACGUAUCGCUUAAGCACAUCUGUAGAAGCUUUAAGUGUAUCUCUCAGAACAGAUGCUGAGUAAGCCCUAAUCAAAUGGUCUUAUCAACGGUGUGGCUGUCCUAUCUUGAACAAAACAAAGGGUUAUUAUUAAAAACAUAAUUCAUAGGAGGUUUAUAGGGGGUUGGAUUUAAAAAAAAACAAACAGCUGUAGGGCCAAAUUUCCUGUCUGCCAUUGUUAGGUGAACAAUCUCUGAAGGGUGACAAGUCUUUCUGUCUCAUAUGCCCAUGCAAUGGCACCAAAAUCUGCCAAACUGGGUCAGUGCACAUGUUGACAAAUCUAAUUUGCUUUCAGCAAUCACCCAUGUCUCAAAAGAAGUCUUUUAACGCAAUUAUUCUGUUUGUCCACCAAAUACGCUCAAGAAUAAAAAAAUUGAUCUUAAAGCCAGUACAGACAAGAACACACCCUAUCUAAUGGACAUGACUGAAUCCAGCUACUAGUUUUACAAAAUUCUGCUUCUUCAUCUGCAGUGUAGUUUCAGUUAGUAUCUACAGGUGCUUUUUAGUUUUUAGAAGUUUUAUUAUGCAACAGGGCCUCUCUAGAGCAAUAGAAAUCCCCUUUAGUGGAACGGAAUUUAAUAUAUUCACUAAAAAUGAAAUAUGUGCAUUUAAAAUAUUACAAAUUGCUCGUAGUAGUAACUAAGGUUUUCUGUCCUACCACGUAACAUUCAGCUCUUCCAGUCUCUCCUGAAAGUUCACUUUUCUUAUAAUAACCUUAUCUGCUUCCUCUGCAGUCUUUCCUUUGAGUUGAAGCCUGUGAGUUUUGCACCUGGUUUGGACUGUACAUUGUACAGGAAUUAUCUGUAUUUUGUCUUGUCAUCAAAGAAAGCACUUUCAGCACUUCAAUAAAUAUUGCACAGCAAUUGAAAUGACAGCAAGAGUUUUUAUGCAGGUUUUACCACUCAUAUUUACUUCUCAUAUUUGCCAAAUUUCAAAUACGAUCUUUACCAGUUUGCUUACAUUUUCAUGCUUUUGCUUACAACUCAUGAAGACCUCAGAAUACCUACGUCUAUUACCAGUUUAAUCACAUGGAAAAUGCUGUCCUUUGUCAAAACACCUUUUUUUUUUUUUUUUUAAUUCUACAUGCAACAGCAUUGUAUGUGUGUCUACUUCAUCCUUUCAGAAGGAGGCAAUUAGUGCUCUAGCACAGAAGUAUUAUUCUCUGGGCUUGCAUUAGGCAAAACAAUUGAGCAUAAGAGUACAAGCGAAGCUUUGUCAUUCCUAAAUAUGUAGUCAAAAAAGCAGCUUUUCUCAAGACUGCUAAUGCUGGAACAAAGAACAGGGAUAGAGGCUAAGCAACUUUCCUUUGCUUCUCAGUCUUGCCCACUGAAGAUUAAAACUGCUGAGUAAAUUCACUUUCCACAAGGUUUUUUAGCCAUCUCUGCUCACUGCAAAACUCCACAGAAGGUUAGGGAUGUUUUAAAAUGGCACUAUAAUGCUGCUGUUGAAGAGGGUGACAUAAUGAACAGGGUCUGCCCACUGCCUUUUCCAGAGGGUAGCCAACAAUUCUGAAACAUAUUCAAAGCAUUAGAAUAGACUUUUCAGAAAAUAUUUCUUAGCCCAAUUAAAAAAUAUCUGCUGAAUCCAAGAACAAAGCUCGUCAAUACAGGAGGAAAAUGGAGCACAGUUCCAUGCUGGAAAACACUAAUGAGAUGCUAAGCAUUCAUCUCAGUAAUGAAUGUGACUCCAUUUAGGACUUUCUUGUUUGAGCCUGUUUGAGGCUUGUUUGCUAGUGGCAGGGACAAUUUGAAAUUCCUAUAUUGAUUGUCAGCAAAAGUUUUGGAAGCUAGAUUAUAUCCUGAUUUUUAUCUCUCCAGUUUUAUUUUCUUGUCAUUAUUUUGGCCCUCCUCAAACGUAAAAGUCAAUCUUCACAUUUCCUGCUGCAUACAUUUCAGUGUAUUGUGGUCUAGCUUGCAUGGACUUAAUUUUCUUUGUAGCAGCUCAGUGUCGUUUCCUAUUUGUGAUUAAAACAGUGUUAACACAGCAAUCUUCUGACUAUUGCCCAGAGAGACUGUGAAUGUCCCAUCCCUGGAUGCAUUCAAGGCCAGGCUGGACAUGGUUCUGGGCAGCUUGGUCUAGAGGUUGGUGACACU